Molecule: ribosomal RNA, 975 nt
Filed under: Escherichia coli
Lineage: Bacteria; Pseudomonadati; Pseudomonadota; Gammaproteobacteria; Enterobacterales; Enterobacteriaceae
Description: partial 23S ribosomal RNA
Rfam family: Bacterial large subunit ribosomal RNA
Source: RNAcentral
AGUACCCCGAGGAAAAGAAAUCAACCGAGAUUCCCCCAGUAGCGGCGAGCGAACGGGGAGGAGCCCAGAGCCUGAAUCAGUGUGUGUGUUAGUGGAAGCGUCUGGAAAGGCGUGCGAUACAGGGUGACAGCCCCGUACACAAAAAUGCACAUACUGUGAGCUCGAUGAGUAGGGCGGGACACGUGGUAUCCUGUCUGAAUAUGGGGGGACCAUCCUCCAAGGCUAAAUACUCCUGACUGACCGAUAGUGAACCAGUACCGUGAGGGAAAGGCGAAAAGAACCCCGGCGAGGGGAGUGAAAAAGAACCUGAAACCGUGUACGUACAAGCAGUGGGAGCCUCUUUAUGGGGUGACUGCGUACCUUUUGUAUAAUGGGUCAGCGACUUAUAUUCUGUAGCAAGGUUAACCGAAUAGGGGAGCCGAAGGGAAACCGAGUCUUAACUGGGCGUUAAGUUGCAGGGUAUAGACCCGAAACCCGGUGAUCUAGCCAUGGGCAGGUUGAAGGUUGGGUAACACUAACUGGAGGACCGAACCGACUAAUGUUGAAAAAUUAGCGGAUGACUUGUGGCUGGGGGUGAAAGGCCAAUCAAACCGGGAGAUAGCUGGUUCUCCCCGAAAGCUAUUUAGGUAGCGCCUCGUGAAUUCAUCUCCGGGGGUAGAGCACUGUUUCGGCAAGGGGGUCAUCCCGACUUACCAACCCGAUGCAAACUGCGAAUACCGGAGAAUGUUAUCACGGGAGACACACGGCGGGUGCUAACGUCCGUCGUGAAGAGGGAAACAACCCAGACCGCCAGCUAAGGUCCCAAAGUCAUGGUUAAGUGGGAAACGAUGUGGGAAGGCCCAGACAGCCAGGAUGUUGGCUUAGAAGCAGCCAUCAUUUAAAGAAAGCGUAAUAGCUCACUGGUCGAGUCGGCCUGCGCGGAAGAUGUAACGGGGCUAAACCAUGCACCGAAGCUGCGGCAGCGACGCUUAUGCG